UAUGAAUUGGAUGUAGAAACACAGACUAAGU
This 31-nucleotide non-coding RNA is filed under the name Rattus norvegicus (Norway rat). Lineage: Eukaryota; Metazoa; Chordata; Mammalia; Rodentia; Muridae. The record is from RNAcentral.